Molecule: ribosomal RNA, 445 nt
Filed under: uncultured bacterium
Lineage: Bacteria
Description: partial 16S ribosomal RNA
Rfam family: Bacterial small subunit ribosomal RNA
Source: RNAcentral
GUAGGGAAUAUUAGGCAAUGGAUGCAAGUCUGACCCAGCCAUCCCGCGUGCCGGAAGAAGGCCCUCAGGGUUGUAAACGGCUUUUGACGGUGAAGAAUCGACAGGAUGCGUCCUGUUUUGACGGUAGCCGUUGAAUAAGCACCGGCUAACUCCGUGCCAGCAGCCGCGGUAAUACGGAGGGUGCGAGCGUUGUCCGGAUUUAUUGGGUUUAAAGGGUGCGUAGGCUGGAAGGUCAGUCAGCGGUGAAAAGCUGUCGCUUAACGAUAGUCUUGCCGCAGAUACUUCCUUUCUUGGAUGAGGAGGAGGCCACUGGAACGGAUGGUGUAGCGGUGAAAUGCAUAGAUAUCAUCCAGAACACCGAUUGCGAAGGCAGGUGGCUGUACCUUAAUCGACGCUGAUGCACGAAAGCAUGGGGAGCAAACAGGAUUAGAAACCCGAGUAGUCC